UUAUAUUGCUGAUAAAUAUAUUUAUAAAAUAAUGAAAUAUAACGUAAUAUAUAUUUAUAUAUAAAUGCAAACGUCAUUAAGUUGCAUUUUCUUUUAGAUGUAUUUUGGAAGAUUUUAAUUAGUUAAGACACACUAAGUUUCUUUUAAUUUUCUUUUCUUAUAACUAUUUUUAUUCUUAUGUGUGGUUGUAGUGCACUCAUUUAGAUGAGACUUGUCAGAUGUAUAUUGACAAAUAUACAUAAUAUAUCACUUAAAAUAAGCAGGAAUAAUAUCACAGGGGUUUUAGUGGGUAAGAAUCCCACAAUAUCCGGUUCUACUUCAAGAGCCGGGCAACUUUUUUGGAGAUUUCUUUAAGCAUAAAAAAAUCUAUUUAUCAUAUAAACUAAAGCAAGUAAGAAAGACGCAGACUUCUAAGUGUCUUUAUAUAUACUUAUAUGAAUAAAAAAUCAAAAAAAAAAAAAAAAUCAUUAAUAUCUAAAUAUCUUAAGUAUAAGUUCUUAGAUUAUAUGUAUAUGCCUUGAUAUAAGCAAAAACAGAAGAAUACGAAGAUAAGCAAAAGGAUGAAUCAGACAUAAAAACAUUCAAUAAAACAUUGAUUAUGAAUUAAGAACAAUAUUGUGAAAAUAAUAAUAGUAUUUAUAUAAAUAAAAAAUUAAAAUGUAAGUACAAAA
Melitaea cinxia (Glanville fritillary) is the source of this 671-nucleotide long non-coding RNA. RefSeq lists it as uncharacterized. NCBI's taxonomy places the organism in Eukaryota, Metazoa, Arthropoda, Insecta, Lepidoptera, Nymphalidae. The transcript is spliced from 3 exons. The record is from RefSeq and is a predicted model, not a curated record.